Molecule: long non-coding RNA, 115 nt
Organism: Haliotis rubra (blacklip abalone)
Lineage: Eukaryota; Metazoa; Mollusca; Gastropoda; Lepetellida; Haliotidae
Exons: 3
Source: RefSeq, a predicted model, not a curated record
AGCUUCACACAUUGAAUGGGUCUGCAACGAUUCGGUUUGAUUCAUUGUAAAUCGAAGCUGACACCUUAGUUUCGAUUUUCGAUAACCAUUAUCACUAUUUCGCUCCGGUAUUUAA